RNAcentral lists this small RNA (687 nucleotides) under Pan troglodytes (chimpanzee). RNAcentral describes it as "processed transcript". The record is from RNAcentral. Lineage: Eukaryota; Metazoa; Chordata; Mammalia; Primates; Hominidae.
AAGGCCUACUCACCUGAGAAGAAGAUCUCCAUCCUGCUCAAGACCUGCAAACUCAUCUACGACUCCAUGGCCCUCGGCAACCCAGCAACCUCACGGAGAUGCUUCUCGAUGUGGAGUACAUGAUGGAGCUCAUGGACCCCGCCCUGCAGCUGGGGGAGGGUUCCUACUAUCUGACCACCACCUACGGGGCCCUGGAGCACAUCAAGAGCUAUGACAAGAUCACGGUGACCCGGCAGCUGAGUGUGGAGGUGCAGGACUCCAUCCACCGCUGGGAGCGCCGGCGUACGCUCAACAAGGCCCGGGCCUCCCGCUCCUCCGUACAGGGACUCCGAGACGCGCCUUAAUUCAUCUCCCAGAACUGUCGGCCCAGCUGGGAAGCCAGGCAGGGAGGGGGACGGGCCCCCCGCAGGCUCGCGGCAGAGACGGGAAAGGCGCAGGUGCCGGACUCACAGACCGCUUGGCGCCCGCCACCCGCUAUCCAUCCAGGGAGGGGCCUGGGCUGGAAGAGGGCGCCUGGGGAGACAGGGCCCCGCCGUGACCACAGGCCCCUCGUGUCUCCGCAGGACUUCAUCUGCGUGUCCUACCUGGAGCCCGAGCAGCAGGCGCGGACACUGGCGUCGCGGGCGGACACCCAGGCCCAGGCGCUGUGCGCGCAGUGCGCGGAGAAGUUCGCGGUGGAGAGGCCGC